UUCUUUCUGGUCCUGGCAAACUGAGCCCAGAUUCUUGCAAAGACUGCUAGAUUCCAAAGAAGGGAAGCAAUGGACAGUCCUACACAGCCAUGAACCACAUCAACAAGCAGAAUGGCACUGUAACCCUAAAGGGCCCUUGUGAGGAUGUGAUCACCAGUUGGUCACCAUGGCAAGAAUGACAACACGAAGUGGCUCUACCAUGGAAGGACGGACAGAAAUGAUGCUUUGCCUUGAUACCUACUGGAGUAGAUCUAGUUUUCUCUGUUCUCAGAACAUUAAAAAGACUACUAGUUUAUUUGUACAGGAUGUCUUCUUGCACAAGUGUUUUGAAGCAACUAGCAAACAAAAAUCCCCAGGAACUCUCUGCCCAGCUCACCAUUAUAUUUGGACAGCUAUUGCCAGUGUGUACUUCUUAUGAAAUAGUGUGCCCAGACUCCUGUGUUAUCACUACCAGAUAAAAUAUAAACACCUGAAGAAGCCAUCAUUUUAUAUUACUUAUGAAUUUCCCCCAAGGCAUUUCUAAAUGUCUGCUCUUGAUGGUCAAGCCAGCAUACCUGUCUCCACUGGUCUCCAUCUUCAGCUGGCUCUGGUAGGCAUAUGCUUCUGCUUCAUCAUAGCUGCUCUGAUUAGGCCAUGCUGCUUUCCCGUUGACAUGGAGCUUUGCAAGAUCGCUUCGGAGCCUUUCAUUCUCAUAUUCCAGUUUGUUAAUUGAUGUGUACCGUGAAUGCGCCUUGUCAGUGAAGUCCACAUUCUAGGGAGUAAAACAAAUCCCCACUGAAUGACCUCACACAUGACAUGUGUUUUCCACAUGUUUGGACUCAUAACUUGGGAAGGCCUUUUCAUUUGAGCUAGGUGACAUGGUUUUUGUGAACUCUUUGUUCCCCUGGA
Long non-coding RNA from Onychomys torridus (southern grasshopper mouse), 888 nucleotides. RefSeq lists it as uncharacterized. NCBI's taxonomy places the organism in Eukaryota, Metazoa, Chordata, Mammalia, Rodentia, Cricetidae. The transcript has 3 exons. The record is from RefSeq and is a predicted model, not a curated record.